Molecule: ribosomal RNA, 450 nt
Filed under: uncultured bacterium
Lineage: Bacteria
Description: bacterial SSU rRNA
Rfam family: Bacterial small subunit ribosomal RNA
Source: RNAcentral
GUGGGGAAUCUUGCGCAAUGGGCGAAAGCCUGACGCAGCAACGCCGCGUGUGUGAUGAAGGUCUUCGGAUCGUAAAGCACUGUCGCGAGGGACGAUAUGCAAGGGGCUAACAUCCCCUUGCUAGGACGGUACCUCGAGAGGAAGCACCGGCUAACUCUGUGCCAGCAGCCGCGGUAAUACAGAGGGUGCGAGCGUUGUUCGGAAUUAUUGGGCGUAAAGCGCUUGUAGGCGGCCUGUCAAGUCGCGUGUGAAAUCCCUUGGCUUAACCAAGGAAGUGCGCGCGAAACUGGCGGGCUUGAGUGCCGGAGAGGGUCGCGGAAUUCCCGGUGUAGAGGUGAAAUUCGUAGAUAUCGGGAGGAACACCAGUGGCGAAGGCGGCGACCUGGACGGACACUGACGCUGAGACGCGAAAGCGUGGGGAGCAAACAGGAUUAGAAACCCGGGUAGUCC